CAGACGUCCCUGCGCGUCGUCCUCCUCGCCCUCCAGGCCGCCCGCGCCGCGCCGGAGUCCGCUGUCCGCCAGCUACCCGCUUCCUGCCGCCCGCCGCUGCCAUGCUGCCCGCCGCGCUGCUCCGCCGCCCGGGACUUGGCCGCCUCGUCCGCCACGCCCGUGCCUAUGCCGAGGCCGCCGCCGCCCCGGCUGCCGCCUCUGGCCCCAACCAGAUGUCCUUCACCUUCGCCUCUCCCACGCAGAGCCAGCCGCCAAGGUUGACCUCAGCUUCGGAGCCACCUCUGGAUGAACUGCCCCCAGCCCCCGCCCCAUUAAAGACCCGGAAGCCUG
This 330-nucleotide long non-coding RNA is filed under the name Homo sapiens (human). Its description in RNAcentral is "long non-coding RNA NONHSAT060233.2". Lineage: Eukaryota; Metazoa; Chordata; Mammalia; Primates; Hominidae. The record is from RNAcentral.